Long non-coding RNA from Puntigrus tetrazona (Sumatra barb), 338 nucleotides. RefSeq lists it as uncharacterized. The record is from RefSeq and is a predicted model, not a curated record. The transcript is spliced from 3 exons. NCBI's taxonomy places the organism in Eukaryota, Metazoa, Chordata, Actinopteri, Cypriniformes, Cyprinidae.
GUGGCUGAUCAUCCGGUCUGUGACGCCAGGGCAGAUGUCUUCAGCCACAUGCAGGCUCUUCUCCAGCUGCUCCAGAACUCUCGCCGAGUCGUCGUCACCGUGCUGCGAUUUCAGCUACAACACAAAGGCCACGCCAACUCAUCUUCCUUAAAUAGGACCGUAUGCGACCCUGGACCACAAAACCAGCCAUGGGGAUCGAUUUUUAAAAAAAAAUUGGGUCACAUAUGAGAAGACAAGCUGCCCUACCUCUGAAAAAACCGGAGCCAUGACGGUGGUUAAACUGACCGACUUCUUCUGAAGUUCUUCAUCCUGAAGGGAGGAGAUGGAAAACACAACAC